CCUCCCACGAGAGCUUUCAGCUGAGCUACCAGCCUCGCGAGGCAGGUAUAGCUAAGCACAUAAUGGAAAGUAAAUGUGAACAACAGUUUUACCGUGAUUUAUAUAAUCGUUGGUUCAGAAAAGAAUUUCUGUUAAGAAAUAUGUUAGCUGGGUAUAAUACAAGUUAUAUAUGACGAUGAAUACGCGGAAGCUAGGCACUAAGGAGGUUAGCAAGAGAAAUAAAACCAGACGAAACGAAAACAAUUGUGUAGUAAACAAGUAGAAACCCAGCUGUAUCCAAACCCACUCGUUUCACUCAUUUGCAUAUAUCAUGACGUGAUGAGUGCUGACGAUUGUCAUCACUAACAAGUCAAAUACGCGUGGCUAGCUCAACGAAACGAUGAUGUAAAAUUCUCAAAAAGAGUAAAAGAUUAAUUUACCAAAUUGGGUUAUCUGUUAAAGCAUUAUAUAUACAUAAAUAUGAUAGGUAUAUUUUGAAGUCCAAAUAUUAUGAACAAUUUCUCCAUGCGCGAUGAGUUACAGUAGAGGAUACGGGUUAAGCAAAAUAUGUUAUAUUCAAAGUAUCUUCAUAACAAUGGUUAUGAAUUUCCAAAGAAUAAAACCCUACAAACCAAUUGGUUAUUGUAAUUUAUUUUGCUUAACGCAAGACCCACCCGUAGUACGAGCUACAUAACUUUAUAAGCUGCAUGUAAAGACACCAAGCGUAACAAUGGCCAACAUAGACCAGUGGGCGAUAGUGCUAAAUAUAACGUCUUAUAAAUGCAGACUCCACGAAAACCAUGAAUCAUGUUAUCAUAGAGUACAAGCGACAAUAAUGAGUUUUAAAGCUAUGUAAA
This is a long non-coding RNA of Xenia sp. Carnegie-2017, 836 nucleotides long. RefSeq lists it as uncharacterized. The transcript is spliced from 2 exons. The record is from RefSeq and is a predicted model, not a curated record. NCBI's taxonomy places the organism in Eukaryota, Metazoa, Cnidaria, Anthozoa, Malacalcyonacea, Xeniidae.